UACGGGGGGGGUAAGCGUUGUUCGGAAUUACUGGGCGUAAAGGGCUCGUAGGUGGCCAACUAAGUCGGACGUGAAAUCCCUCGGCUUAACCGGGGAACUGCGUCUGAUACUGGAUGGCUUGAGUUCGGGAGAGGGAUGCGGAAUUCCAGGUGUAGCGGUGAAAUGCGUAGAUAUCUGGAGGAACACCGGUGGCGAAGGCGGCAUCCUGGACCGACACUGACGCUGAGGAGCGAAAGCCAGGGGAGCAAACGGG
Molecule: ribosomal RNA, 253 nt
Filed under: uncultured bacterium
Lineage: Bacteria
Description: partial 16S ribosomal RNA
Rfam family: Bacterial small subunit ribosomal RNA
Source: RNAcentral